GACGAACGCUGGCGGCGUGCUUAACACAUGCAAGUCGAACGGAAAGGCCCUGCUUUUGUGGGGUGCUCGAGUGGCGAACGGGUGAGUAACACGUGAGUAACCUGCCCUUGACUUUGGGAUAACUUCAGGAAACUGGGGCUAAUACCGGAUAGGAGCUCCUGCUGCAUGGUGGGGGUUGGAAAGUUUCGGCGGUUGGGGCUGGACUCGCGGCUUAUCAGCUUGUUGGUGGGGUAGUGGCUUACCAAGGCUUUGACGGGUAGCCGGCCUGAGAGGGUGACCGGCCACAUUGGGACUGAGAUACGGCCCAGACUCCUACGGGAGGCAGCAGUGGGAAAUAUUGCACAAUGGGCGGAAGCCUGAUGCAGCAACGCCGCGUGCGGGAUGACGGCCUUCGGGUUGUAAACCGCUUUCGCCUGUGACGAAGCGUGAGUGACGGUAAUGGGUAAAGAAGCACCGGCUAACUACGUG
This 468-nucleotide ribosomal RNA is filed under the name uncultured bacterium. RNAcentral describes it as "partial 16S ribosomal RNA". It matches the Rfam family "Bacterial small subunit ribosomal RNA", at positions 28 to 507 of the family's 1533-position model. The record is from RNAcentral.